RNAcentral lists this non-coding RNA (119 nucleotides) under uncultured Ligilactobacillus sp. Its description in RNAcentral is "FMN riboswitch (RFN element)". It matches the Rfam family "FMN riboswitch aptamer (RFN element)". Rfam says of the family: The RFN element is a highly conserved domain that is found frequently in the 5'-untranslated regions of prokaryotic mRNAs that encode for flavin mononucleotide (FMN) biosynthesis and transport proteins. This element is a metabolite-dependent riboswitch that directly binds FMN in the absence of proteins. In Bacillus subtilis, the riboswitch most likely controls gene expression by causing premature transcription termination within the 5' untranslated region of the ribDEAHT operon and precluding access to the ribosome-binding site of ypaA mRNA. Lineage: Bacteria; Bacillati; Bacillota; Bacilli; Lactobacillales; Lactobacillaceae. The record is from RNAcentral.
UAUCUUCAGGGCAGGGUGAAAUUCCCGACCGGCGGUGAUAGUCCGCGACCCUUAUCUUCGGAUGAGGUUGACUUGGUGAAAAUCCGAGACCGACAGUAAAGUCUGGAUGAAAGAAGAUA